Molecule: long non-coding RNA, 2437 nt
Organism: Wyeomyia smithii (pitcher-plant mosquito)
Lineage: Eukaryota; Metazoa; Arthropoda; Insecta; Diptera; Culicidae
Exons: 4
Source: RefSeq, a predicted model, not a curated record
UCUUUCAUUCUGAUAGCAUCUUUUUUCAAUCUACUUUCAAUUCCAAGAACAGCGGUGACGAGCUCGACACACCACCAGUUUUUUCUAGCCGCUCACACUUGUCACACACACUUGACACACGCUGGCAGUUGGCUGGUCCACACUGUUCUGGGGGUGAUUGGUGGACACUUGACUGAAAACUCGUUCAAGGAUCAAGAUGGACCAAAGAGUGCUCCGCGAGUGCUGCACCGCAACGAUCGUGAAUGAUGAACGACUGAAUCGAAGAUCAACAUUUUAAGGUGGAGGAUCGAGAAAAAGCGUCGACGAAGAUCUUCAAAAAAGGGGAAAAUAUUUUCUUCGAUCUGUUUUGAACCGCAAUUCUUCGCUAUGGAAGAAACGAUCACAUUGCUAAGGAGGAUGCAUCAUCGGUUCAGUCAGCCGUUAAGCAAGGCCUUCGGACAAAAAAUAAGCGAACUUGUACCGGUGUUGGGCAAACCCGUCAAAGAUUGAAAUCUGUGCUUUGCAUGAAGUAGUUUGUCUAGUGUUCAAACAAAUACAUUGUAGUAGUACUUGACAUUCGCCGCGUGAAGCGUGAAAGCACCGAUACCGAAAACAUACAAAUCUUCGCAGAUAGACGGUUAGCGUCGCGCGUGUGGGUCCGGAAUAUUGUGCAAAUUUUCAACCGGUUGCUCAACACAAGGCAGUUAUUUGAAUAAAGUAUGGUGUCAGAGGCAAAUUGGUUCCACACAAGGAUCCAAGGGGUGCCAAGAGCACGGAGCAUGCAUAAUUUGUGCUACAUUGUGGAUUUCCCUCUACUCGUUCCGGUUCGCGUGUGUGCAUGUGCUCAAGUGCAGUGUGUGAAUGCAAUUUGCAAUUUUACGGCAUUUCCAUUUUCGGUAUUGCGUGUUUCGGAAAAAUGUAUGAAAAAAGUGACUGCUCUACACUCUACGCCAAUAAUCCGCUGCAGGAACGGUGAAUGAUGUACGGAUUGCCGGCGAGACUGAAUGUUUUUCAAAACAUGGAUAAAUUGAGACGGAGAAUGCGUAACAUAUGAAAUGAAAUGUUGAUUACCAUAAUGGGUAAAUUCACGAACGGAGUUUAUCGUUACGGGUAGAAUGAACCAGCAUCGCGAAAAUGUAUCUAAACAAAUACUGUUUGACUUUUUUGUGUAGAUCAUCUCCAGUGAUAUGUGGAUAUCGUCAUAGGAUGCCGUUGUGCUGUGAUUAAGAUUCGUUCACAUGCGCAAGCUGUGAAAGUGCUCUCGUGCAAAUCGUACAUUCCUUUUGUGGAUUACUAGGUACCCGUCGCAGUACAGCAGUGUUCACAUUCCGUCGUUAAAGUUUCAUUUUGUUUUGUGUACCGUUUUUGUGCUGAGGUAAUUUUCAUUAUUACGUUUAACCAUUACUUCGCCUCUGCGUUCAAAUACUGCUUUUGUGCAGUUCGUUCGUAAUGCAAAAUGUAAAAUGCAAAAAGUAAAAGCAGCGACGAUUGGUAACGUGAAGAGCAUAACUGUGAAAAAGUGAUGCGACUUUUAUUUGCUAAAUGAUGGAAUUGUAUUUGUUUAUCAAUUUCAAAGCGCUCAAAAGUCAUACGUGAUCGUGCAAGUGUAUAAUUAUGUUGUCGUAUUUAUCAUUUCGAUAUAAAAAUGAGAAAAAAGGUGUAUCAUUGUAUCAGCAUGAAAUGCAGUAGCAGUGAAGUUCAAAGUGCCGAAGGUUGAAGAAGGAAGCGUCAAACAACAAGUUUUAUUGGCCCGAAACAGUAAAAAUAUUUUUAUUGCAAGGCGUGGAAUUGGAAUUAGACGACAUAAUGUCGCGUGGUGUUUUACGAGGAUGAGCCGCCGUCAUAGUUAUGAAUCGUUGACUGACUACAAGAUUAAUAAUGGAGGGCUCGGCGCGAUCCUGAGAUUUGCCGCCUAGCAUGGAUCCCACUACCUUCAAGCGUAGUGCAGCUGAAAGUAGGUAACAUUAAAAAAACGCUUUUUUUCGUUGAAUACUCAUGAAGAAUUUUUAUCUCCUAUUUGAUUGUAACAUGCAAUUCAGUGUGAAAAUAAAACGGAACAUACUUUUAAAGGGAUUGGUUUAUUGCUAAAGGUUCUUAACCCAGUUGAGUCACGGUGUUAUCACUCCUCCAUAUGAAUUUCCCAUUCGAUUCCAUUUCGCGGCAAUUAUCCUCCCGUUUUCGCACUCUUUGGAUAUUUAAUUGUUAUUAAAUUUUGUUACUAUCUGUUUACCUUCACACAGGUUUCCGUUUCCUUACAAAUUAUACUUUCCUCAGGCUCUCUCUCUGUGUUCAGCUUGUGUUGCCUCAGCCUCGCGUGGAGUGCAGUUUACGACUGAUAUAAAGUUUUUAACAGUUUUUAAAUUGUUUUACGAGCCUAUAAAUAGUUACUUGGCGGCAACUUUUUGCUUUCCACAAAUUGAUAAAAAUGACCUGUGCUGGUGGAUCCAAAUUUUGUUUU